GCACAAGCGGUGGAGCAUGUGGUUAAUUCGAUGCAACGCGAAGAACCUUACCUGGGCUUGACAUCCCGGGAAUCCCUUGGAAACAGGGAGUGCCCUUCGGGGAACCUGGAGACAGGUGCUGCAUGGCUGUCGUCAGCUCGUGUCGUGAGAUGUAGGGUUAAGUCCCGCAACGAGCGCAACCCUCGCCUUUAGUUGCCAGCAUUCAGUUGGGCACUCUAAAGGGACUGCCGGUGUCAAACCGGAGGAAGGUGGGAUGACGUCAAGUCCUCAUGGCCUUUAUGUCUAGGGCUACACACGUACUACAAUGGCAGGUACAAAGGGCAGCGACACAGCGAUGUGAUGCGAAUCCCGAAAAGCCUGUCUCAGUCCGGAUCGGAGUCUGCAACUCGACUCCGUGAAGUUGGAAUCGCUAGUAAUCGUGGAUCAGCAUGCCACGGUGAAUACGUUCCCGGGCCUU
Molecule: ribosomal RNA, 457 nt
Filed under: uncultured Desulfocapsa sp.
Lineage: Bacteria; Pseudomonadati; Thermodesulfobacteriota; Desulfobulbia; Desulfobulbales; Desulfocapsaceae
Description: bacterial SSU rRNA
Rfam family: Bacterial small subunit ribosomal RNA
Source: RNAcentral